CCUACGGGAGGCUGCAGUGAGGAAUAUUGGUCAAUGGACGAGAGUCUGAACCAGCCAAGUAGCGUGAAGGAUGACUGCCCUAUGGGUUGUAAACUUCUUUUAUAUGGGAAUAAAAUGUUCCACGUGUGGGAUUUUGUAUGUACCAUAUGAAUAAGGAUCGGCUAACUCCGUGCCAGCAGCCGCGGUAAUACGGAGGAUCCGAGCGUUAUCCGGAUUUAUUGGGUUUAAAGGGAGCGUAGGUGGAUUGUUAAGUCAGUUGUGAAAGUUUGCGGCUCAACCGUAAAAUUGCAGUUGAAACUGGCAGUCUUGAGUACAGUAGAGGUGAGCGGAAUUCGUGGUGUAGCGGUGAAAUGCUUAGAUAUCACGAAGAACACCGGUUGCGAAGGCAGUUCACUGGACUGCAACUGACACUGAGGCUCGAAAGUGUGGGUAUCAAACAGGAUUAGAUACCCUUGUAGUC
RNAcentral lists this ribosomal RNA (460 nucleotides) under uncultured bacterium. RNAcentral's name for it is "partial 16S ribosomal RNA". It matches the Rfam family "Bacterial small subunit ribosomal RNA", at positions 338 to 795 of the family's 1533-position model. The record is from RNAcentral.